Jaculus jaculus (lesser Egyptian jerboa) is the source of this 1813-nucleotide RNA transcript. It is a transcript of the gene named peroxisomal biogenesis factor 16, with no coding region annotated. The record is from RefSeq and is a predicted model, not a curated record. Lineage: Eukaryota; Metazoa; Chordata; Mammalia; Rodentia; Dipodidae. The transcript has 12 exons.
CGGGAAUAGGCCUGCGCAGGGAGGCUUGCCUCAGUUUCCCCAGCACUAUCUUCUGUAGAGGGCUGCAGACAGGGAACCGGCUAAGACCUAGUCGGAUAGUUUCUACCCUCCCUGCGCGAGCGCCCCCGAGUCUGAUCGAGGCUCCUUUCCCGCGCGUCACGAUUCCGCGGGCCCUUGAACAUUCGGCCUUGCGUUCGAGCCUCUCGGUGCUCCACUGGAAAGACUCGGGGUCCUACUCCCUUCUCGAGAAUGGACUGCUCAGCCUGCCGCUGAGCUUCACUGCGCAGGCGCGGGGGCAGCCCGCGAGCAAGGCGGAAGAGCCGGUCCCCGCGGCUCUAGGCGGCGGAGGGCCUCCUGGCCAAUGACAUGAAGGAGGCGGGGUGUGGGCUCCGCCCGCCGUGGCUGAGCGCUACGCGAGUGGGAGGUGCUUUACGAGGGUGGGGUGUAGGGAGCUUCAAAGGCUUUGCACGCCGUGAUUUUUCUGGUCUGCGGAAGCUGAGCAAACGAGAGGCGGGUUUAGGACCGGAAGCAGGAAGGAGCGCGCAGGAAGCCGAGCGCCGCGGCCAGUCUGGCUGUGGGUUUGUCGGUCCUCUGGGCAGUAUGGAGAAGCUGCGGCUCCUGGGCCUCCGCUACCAGGAGUACGUGACUCGUCACCCGGCGGCCACGGCCCAGCUGGAGACUGCAGUGCGGGGCCUCAGUUACCUGCUGGCAGGUCGCUUCUCCGAUUCGCACGAGCUGUCAGAGUUGGUGUACUCUGCCUCUAACCUGCUUGUGUUGCUCAAUGAUGGCAUCCUUCGGAAGGAGCUUCGGAAAACACUGCCUGUGUCGCUGUCCCAGCAAAAACUGCUGACAUGGCUGAGCGUGCUGGAGUGUGUGGAGGUGUUCAUGGAGAUGGGGGCUGCCAAGGUGUGGGGUGAAGUGGGCCGUUGGCUUGUCAUCGCCCUCAUCCAGCUGGCAAAAGCUGUUUUACGGAUGUUCCUGCUGAUCUGGUUCAAGACGGGCAUCCAGACCUCACCCCCCAUUGUUCCGCUGGACAGGGAGACCCAGGCCCAACCCUCAGAUGGUGACCACAUUCCAGGCAGCCCAGAGCAGUCAUAUGUGGGGAAGCGGUCAAACCGAGUGGUGAGAACCCUGCAGAACACCCCGUCCCUGCACUCCAGGCACUGGGGAGCCCCCCAGCAGCAGGACAGACGGAAGCAACAGCAGCAGGAGGAGCUGAGUGUCCAGUCAACACCCCUGGGGCUGCAGGAGACCAUUGCAGAAACUUUGUACAUCACCCGGCCCCUACUGCACUUGCUUAGCCUGGGCCUAUGGGGUCAGCGGUCAUGGGCACCUUGGUUGCUGUCUGGUGCAGUGGAUGUGACUAGCCUGAGCCUCCUGAGUGACAGGAAGGGCUUGACUCGAAGGGAGCGGCAGGAGCUACGGCGCCGAACCAUCAUGCUGCUGUACUACCUGCUGCGCUCCCCAUUCUACAAGCGCUUCUCCGAAGCCAAGAUCCUCUUCCUACUACAGCUGCUGGCCGACCAUGUGCCUGGCAUCAGCCUAGUGGCGCGGCCGCUCAUGGAUUACUUGCCUUCCUGGCAGAAAAUUUAUUUCUACAGUUGGGGUUGACAGACAUCCUAGGAGUGAGUGUGAGGAGAGGCAGGUGGCUGCUCCGCCACCCUGGACUAUGGUAUCCGACCCAAGCAUCCGUGGCCCCGACCUCUCCUCUCCCAGGCCCAGCAGCGCAAGCGGGACGGGCCUGACAUGGCUGACUAUUACUACGAUGUACACAUGUGAUGGGAACUCUGGAUAAAGCUAUUUGGACAGCAAA